Non-coding RNA from Megalopta genalis, 1326 nucleotides. NCBI's taxonomy places the organism in Eukaryota, Metazoa, Arthropoda, Insecta, Hymenoptera, Halictidae. The record is from RefSeq and is a predicted model, not a curated record.
GCCUCAUAAACGAUCGAUAUUCCUUAAAUUCUUACUUCCUAUACAACGUGUAUCGUUGCCAUAAUCGUACAAUAAUUUGAGAUCUGAUAUUGUUCUACGAGAUCGUUUGGAUUUUAUAUUUUUGUCCCGCGUGGCCGCACUGUGCGUCGGGGACAAAAAGGCGAGAAGACGAGAAGACGGCGAAGGAAACAGUAAUUCUGUGCAGCAUCGUUCACCUUAGAUCCAGACGAAUGUCUCGAACUGAUCUCUACAGCAUGUUUGUGCGAUGACAUUAUGUACGACGAUAAAUCAUCCAGUUUCCUAUUUAGUUAAUUUCAACCGUUACGAUGCUACUUUUCGUACAUUGCGACACGUUUCCUGCGAUGUUUUAUGCUGUCCCUGAUUUCUAGACUUGCAUAGUUAUGUGUGGGAAAAUGGAAGAAUUAUCAGCAGAAUCAGCAAAACGAGAAGAAAUUUCAAGAUAAAUAUCGAGCCUUCGUUGGAUACAUCGCAAUUGUCAGGUUGACGUACAAAAAGACUAACCAAGAGGUGGUCAAUACACUGUGUAAUAUACUGUGCAAAGGAACAAAUGAUUGCUGUACACUUUUGCGUUCAUUAGGAGAAUCGCUUCGUGUCCCAACGAUUCGAAAGCGAACUAUACAAAUAAUGCUAAUGUUGGACGGUGUACUAACUACAUUACACACAAUAAUCAUUCGGUCCAGCUCCGCGCAGUCGUCACAAUCGCCGUGCUCGUUAGACGUAAGAAACGCGUGGAUGAAAAAACAUUGUUGCAAAGGAAAGAGGAUGAAGGGUGUUUCGAGACAUAAAAAUUCCUAAAGUGCAAUCCAUUUUCCCAAAAAUGAGCAAGAAACUUAUUGAACAAGAGGGCGAGGGUGCGGAGGGGUAGUAGGAUGUGUGCGAUCGCAUGUGUAAAAUUUUGAUUACGGGUAAUUAUUAGUUUCGGAAAUAUUAAUACGAGAACUAAUAGUAUUGUUACGAGCCGAGGGAUAAGGCAGUCGUGCGUGACCGAGGAUUCGUUCGAUCGAGAGGGAGAACGAGUUCGUUAGUUGCGGAGGAGCCGACGUUUGUUUCAUCGCCGGGACCCACGAGCGGAGGAAGGACUUGGUCGACAGGAACGGUCCUCGCUCUGUCAUCUAUCAUCCGAUUGGCACGAACUUAGGUGCAUUAGACGGACAAACGAUCGACCUUCCUAAGGAUGCUCAUCAGAUGUCGCCACUACUUGCCGAGAUAUGGCGCCAGUCUUAAAAAUUAAAUGUCUCACCGUGUAGAUUUAAGAGUAUGUAUUUCCCGACGAAGAAUAAAACGGUGACCCUUUUAUACCGUCAA